Long non-coding RNA from Mangifera indica (mango), 1270 nucleotides. RefSeq lists it as uncharacterized. The transcript is spliced from 2 exons. The record is from RefSeq and is a predicted model, not a curated record. NCBI's taxonomy places the organism in Eukaryota, Viridiplantae, Streptophyta, Magnoliopsida, Sapindales, Anacardiaceae.
GCUGCAGUUCUUAUCGGAAGAUAGGAAUCGGCGGUGCUGAUUUCUCCCGUGCUGCAAAAGGCAAACAGUAACUCAUAAUUUUCAUUCUUCUACCUUAAACUGCCACUACUGUUUCUCCUAUAAUUCAAAGAAAUUUGGCAAAAGAUUCCUUUAAACACCCACAUGGACGAGAGGUUGCAGAAUUUUGUCAAAAAAGGAAAUGUAGAAGCAUUUUUUUUCAGUACUUACAGAGGAUCCUUAUGUUAUGGAGCGUAUUGAUCAAGUACAAUUUGAGAGAAAUUUCGCCAAGGAAAUUCUAAAGUUAAAGCCUCCAUUUGGCUUUGGAGGGGAAGCACCUGCAGGAUGGGCUUAGUCCUCGAGAUCCGGACAUGGAGGGAAAGUUCCACGAAGUUGUAACAUGGUUGAUAAAACAUGACAGUGAGCUUGUCCGCGUUAAAGCGAAGGAGAUGGUUACUCCUUAUCACUAGGCAGCUCAACUAGACGAUGAAUUCAAUUUGGCUGAUUUUUUGUAUGUCUGUCCAUCUUCAAUCCACGAUGUGACUGUUCAAUCUGAAACUGCUGUACAUGUCGCUCUUAAAAACGGGAGUUUCAAAGCCUUUAAAAUCUUGUUAGAAUGGCUUCGACGCUUCAACAAUGAAGAGAUGCUGUACCGGAAGGACAAAGAAGGAAACGAUGCAUUGCAUACUGCCGUAUCUGCAAAUCAACCUGAGGGCGAGAUGGACAGCAGUUUCAGAUUUAACAGUCAAAUCUUGGAUUAUUGAUGGACAAACAUGCAAAAACCCAGCCAAACUGGAUUAAUCGUCUAGUUGAGCUGCAUAAUGCAAAGGAGUAACCACCCCCUUGCUUUAACACGGACAAGCCCACCGUCAUGUUUUGUCAACCAUGUUACAAGUUCCUGUAACUUUCCCUCCAAAUCUGUAUGUCGAGGCCUAAGCCCUUCCUGCAGGUGCUUCCCCUCCAAAGCCAAAUGGUCUCACUUCCAAGCAAAUGAUGGCUUUAAGUUUAGUAUUUCCUUGGCGAAGUGGGAGUAGUCACAAAUGGUACUUGAUCAAUACGCUCCAAAACAUAAGGAUCCUCUGCAACCUUUCCUCCAUGUCUUUAUGGCUGUUUUAAGAAAUCUUUUUGUAAAUUAUCUUUCAAUUACAGAAGUUACAGUGAUAGCUUGAGUUAUAAGAAUGAAAAUUAUGAGUUACUGUUUGCCUUUUGCACGGAAGAAAUUUUGCAGAUGUCAAUGUCUAAUUAAAUGAAGGGUUUGAAUCCUUCCAUCACA